GCCCGCCCCCAUCGCCAGAUGACGCGAGAAGGGGCAGUCCUAGAAACGAGAUGGGACUACUACGCACGCGUGACUCGCAGGCUGGGAAGAUGCAGAAUAGAUUGGAGUUUGGUUAAACGUCUGGCUUCUCCGAGAGCCACAAGAAUGAACACCCAGAGUCAUCCACUCCUCACUUGAUACAACAGAUGUUUUCUUGAGUUUUGUUGGAAGUGUUAAGUAAACUAGGAGAAUUUUCAAGAAAGGAAUCUAUUAAGACUUUAAGAAUCAUCCCCUAAAUGCAAGCACCAUUUGGAUAUCAUCCAACCAUCAUCCUCAGUCACAUGAAAUUUAUCGACUUCUAGAACUCAAGCAGUGGAAGGUUGUUGUACCUAGUAUUCAACUCAUUGCCUGUAGAUUGCCUUAGCAAAUGGUUUCUAGGGUCUUUAUGAUGAAAGUUCUCCUCUCCUGCCCUAAUUGAUUCAUUUCAGUGAGUAAGGAUUGUCACAUGUGUCUGUAACCAUAUUUGCUUCAAGAGAAGGGUAUCCUAAUCAUUCAGUCAAGUUCUGGAGCCUUUAUUAUGAUGCUUCCUACUAGACCUUGAGAAGUAAAGGUUAAGAAUAACUUUUGUCCUCUUGAGAAGAGCACUAAUUUUGGAAUUUAGAUCUCAUCAACACUCAUCAGCAAACAGAUUUUGAGAUUUUGACCUGUAAUCUCUUUGACCUUGAAAUGAGUGUCCUUAUUUGUAAAAUAAGGCUAAGAUUUUUACCAUUUAUUACAUAUAUCUCCUUGGUUAUGUUAAGCUCACCUAAUGAAUACUAUGCUAUUGAUUGCCUACAUGGGGACUUUGUACCUAGUAAAAGUCUGAGACACUUA
Antechinus flavipes (yellow-footed antechinus) is the source of this 852-nucleotide long non-coding RNA. RefSeq lists it as uncharacterized. The transcript has 2 exons. The record is from RefSeq and is a predicted model, not a curated record. NCBI's taxonomy places the organism in Eukaryota, Metazoa, Chordata, Mammalia, Dasyuromorphia, Dasyuridae.